RNAcentral lists this ribosomal RNA (254 nucleotides) under uncultured bacterium. RNAcentral's name for it is "partial 16S ribosomal RNA". It matches the Rfam family "Bacterial small subunit ribosomal RNA", at positions 524 to 776 of the family's 1533-position model. The record is from RNAcentral.
UACGGAGGGUGCAAGCGUUAUCCGGAUUUACUGGGUUUAAAGGGUGCGUAGGCGGUUUGAUAAGUCAGUCGUGAAAUGCCUCCGCUUAACGGAGUGAAGUGCGAUUGAUACUGUUAGACUUGAAUAAGGUUGAGGUAGGCGGAAUGUGGCAUGUAGCGGUGAAAUGCUUAGAUAUGCCAUAGAACACCGAUUGCGAAGGCAGCUUGCUGGACCUUUAUUGACGCUGAGGCACGAAAGCGUGGGGAGCAAACAGG